This is a long non-coding RNA of Mesocricetus auratus (golden hamster), 2293 nucleotides long. RefSeq lists it as uncharacterized. The transcript is spliced from 3 exons. The record is from RefSeq and is a predicted model, not a curated record. Lineage: Eukaryota; Metazoa; Chordata; Mammalia; Rodentia; Cricetidae.
AUGACCUGCGUCCAAGCAGAGAGCUGGGAGUCAGCAAUGUUUGGUAGGGUGGAGCUUCACCAGCUUCCUUCUAGAUAGCUUACUCUCUGGGUGGAUGCCGCGACUGUAUCAGCAAUUCAGCCAGCAUGGACAGGAAUCCGGGUCGCUCAUUAUCCAGAGGCACGGUCAUGUGAAGACACAGUAAGGAGACACACACCUACAAACAAGCCCUCAGGAGAGGUUCCACCAGACACCGACACCACCAGGAAUGCCACUGUAAGAAUAUUAAAACAGUCCCUAAGAAGUCUCCAGCAUGAAGACACUGUGAAGACAUGGCUUUUAACUGCAGUGGUGAUGUCCCAACCCUAGAAAAUAUGUUUCUGUGCAUCCAACAAUAGUGUCACCAAGGUGGAGAUCAGUGUUCCCUGGGACAGGCUCUUCUCAGCUACAGGGAGGACAAAUCUAUUUUCCAUUCCUGGGGCACCCCAGCAGCCUGCCCUCUGAGUUCUCCCUGCUGGUAUGCUGGGGCCUUGGGUGGGUACCAGGGGUUAAGGAGGGUAGCAGAGAACCAGCAAAGGGUUAACUGUUCACAGGAAGGGGAAACAUCCAUCCAGCAGAAGGAAACUGGUGGAGGCAGGGGUUAGUGUCUGAUUUGUUAGUUCUCGGUGUGCCGGUUUUGAGUAGUCCUAAAUGAAAAUCAAGUCUCUAAACUACAGAUUCCAAACAGUCUCAGCUCUGGUAGCAUGUGUCCAAUUCUUACUUCCUUUUUAACUCAGUGUUGCUAAAUCUUAAUAAAUCCGUUCCCGAGCUUUAACCUGAAUUUCCAGGCCCAUUCCCCGAGGCUCUCCGGCGUUGUGACCUGAUCCCUGUCUUAGCCCAUGUGCAUGGGGCUGUGUGGUUCCUCUGGCACCUGGCCAAUUGUUGCUAUUUGCUAUGCCAAGACCUUCCUUUACUUGGAUCACUUCCCCUACAAAUGUAGACUCCUGCUGGAGCCCUGGUGCUCUCUGGCCUGGGUGUUGCCUGCCACUGAUGCUAAGUUGAGACUCCUCUUUUCUUUCUUGACCUCCCUAAGUCUCCCAGGGGUCAUAGCCCGAGUACACUGACUAUACUGAAUAUCCGUCGAGGGUUUCCAGCAGAGCUUAUGCACUACACCAGCUGCAGCAGGAGCGUGAGAUCUUGUCAUCAGGACACCAGGCUUCUGGUUUUCCCCCUUCUGCAUUUAACAGAACCACACCUCUAAAAGUUGAUCUUUGUAAAAUUAGUUCUUUGAUGACCUCAUACAAUGAGUUUUGAUUCGCCCCUGACCCAGCGCUGUCCAGAUCUGUGUCCCCUCCCCUUCCCACCCAGCUUUGUGUCUUUUUCCCUGUGUGAUGCCUCGGAGGUUCAGCUCUACAGGCCAUUUGUCCUGCCCCUCCUUCAAAGGCUCAGGGAUCAUCGCGGAAGAGAGCAUAAUAGCGUACAAGGUGGUAGGUGACAACCACAAGAAAAGCGUGUCUUCUGGACAUGACAGGGCAGCUGCACAUAGGGACAUAUGUGACAGCUCACACAAGCCCAAGCCAUACCAACUCCAUGGAGAGAGAAUUUGAGCCUCAAGUUCUUCCCCUGAGGAGCAACUGUUAGCAGGUAGGAGAGCAAGAAUCAGGUUUCUCUAAGAGUUCAGCCUCUGAUAAGUUGAGCAGACCACAGUGGAAUGCCAGACAGGAUCGUGUGUAAGCCCUGAGGCUCUCCAUACUGAAAUUUAACGGGAGAAGCAUGGCCUUGAUGGAGGAGGGAGAGGAUGCUUUGUUCCCCGAGUCCCUCAGCUGUCACAGAGGAGACCCUACCUUCUGUGCUUUCUUUAGGGAGGCGUCAUACUUGGACCACCAGUCGAUGACAUUCUCAGCAGACUCGUCUGCUAUGGUCCUCUUUCUCCUUUUGGUGGAUCUCCGGGAAGGCUUCCUGGGAUCUUGCUAUGGGAGGAGAGGCAGGUUACUAGUUGGGCCUUAUUGGUUACAUGUAGAAGUCAACUGGGUAUCUGAGUAAUUUGUAGGUGCUGGUGAAAAGUGGACAGAGGCAUCUGUUGGUUUUUUUGGUAGCAGUUCUCCAUGUUGCUUCAAUAAAGGAACAGUUACCCAUGUUUUCAACCAUCCUUCAAUUAAUUCAGCCACUAGUUAUGAAGAUGCUUUACACUGAGUUUGACUUUUGGAAUUUAAUAGUGUGUCAACACAAACCCAGAAAGCUCUAAGUGCAGCCGGGGAGAUAGGGUUCCAGGCCAUGUGACACAAUACUAUGUAAUGAAGGGGUAUUGGCUGCAGACAGAUUUGGGUUAACAAUU